This 253-nucleotide ribosomal RNA is filed under the name uncultured bacterium. RNAcentral describes it as "partial 16S ribosomal RNA". It matches the Rfam family "Bacterial small subunit ribosomal RNA", at positions 524 to 776 of the family's 1533-position model. The record is from RNAcentral.
UACGUAGGGGGCAAGCGUUGUCCGGAUUUAUUGGGCGUAAAGAGCGUGUAGGCGGCUUUGCAAGUCCGUUGUGAAAACUCUGGGCUCAACCCAGAGCCUGCAUCCAAAACUGGCGGGCUAGAGUUCUGGAGGGGGUAGCGGAAUUCCUGGUGUAGCGGUGAAAUGCGUAGAUAUCAGGAGGAACACCGGUGGCGAAGGCGGCUACCUGGACAGAAACUGACGCUGAGGCGCGAAAGCUAGGGGAGCAAACAGG